Non-coding RNA from Lepus europaeus (European hare), 512 nucleotides. The record is from the annotation of a RefSeq genome assembly. NCBI's taxonomy places the organism in Eukaryota, Metazoa, Chordata, Mammalia, Lagomorpha, Leporidae.
GCUUCCGCCAACAAGGACCCUAGUCUGCUGGAGCCUCCCAUCUCAGCCUGACGGCCAUGGGCACCAGGCUGCUCUGCUGGGCGGCCCUCUGUCUCCUGGGGGCAGAACACAUGGACGCUGGAGUCUCCCAGUCCCCCAGACACAGGGUCACAGGGAGGGGACAGAAUGUCACUCUCACGUGUGACCCAGAGGCUGGUCAUGCUCGUCUUUACUGGUACCAACAGAGCCAAGGGCAAGGCCUGCAGUUUAUGAUGUAUUUCCAAGGUAAAGAUCCAGUAGACGAGUCAGGGAUGCCUGGUAGCCACUUCUCCGCGGAGAGGCCUAGGGGAUCCUCCUCCACCCUGAAGAUCCAGCCUGCACAGCCCGGGGACUCAGCCGUGUACCUCUGUGCCAGCAGCUUAGACACAGCGUGGCGCCGCCACCUCCCACCUGGUCACAAACCUCAUCCUCUGUCUCCAGGCAGCUCUGAGAGACCUAAGCAGAGGGUGUGUUUGAUCUCACACCUCAAGUGA